Molecule: small nucleolar RNA, 126 nt
Filed under: Sciurus vulgaris (Eurasian red squirrel)
Lineage: Eukaryota; Metazoa; Chordata; Mammalia; Rodentia; Sciuridae
Description: Small nucleolar RNA SNORA51 (ENSSVLG00005008127.1)
Rfam family: Small nucleolar RNA SNORA51
About the family: ACA51 is a member of the H/ACA class of snoRNA that guide the sites of modification of uridines to pseudouridines.
Source: Rfam by way of RNAcentral
AGUGGAAAGUUCUGGCAGUGUUCUUAUACUGACUGUCUAGAGAAAGGAGGCAGAGUCAAACUGCCUCAUGUACACCUCAUUCCAGGUCCUGUGCCUGGUUUGUACUGUGUGAAUGGGGAGACAUAG